This 204-nucleotide long non-coding RNA is filed under the name Phoenix dactylifera (date palm). RNAcentral describes it as "long non-coding RNA (PDAC_LNC007040)". The record is from RNAcentral. Lineage: Eukaryota; Viridiplantae; Streptophyta; Magnoliopsida; Arecales; Arecaceae.
CCUGGUCAGCUGGAUCUUCUCUACUGUUUGUUGCACAAUCUCGGAGCCCAUAAUUUUUCUUUCACCAACAUCAUCCCAACAGAUAGGUGAUCUACACUUUCUUCCAUAUAGAGCCUCAUAAGGUGCCAUUUGAAUACUUGCCUGGUAACUGUUAUUAUAUGCAAACUCAACCAAAGGCAAGUGACGGUCCCAAGAACCUUUCAU